This 466-nucleotide ribosomal RNA is filed under the name uncultured bacterium. RNAcentral's name for it is "partial 16S ribosomal RNA". It matches the Rfam family "Bacterial small subunit ribosomal RNA", at positions 28 to 507 of the family's 1533-position model. The record is from RNAcentral.
GACGAACGCUGGCGGUGCGCCUAACACAUGCAAGUCGAACGAGCGAGAGAGAGCUUGCUUUCUCGAGCGAGUGGCGAACGGGUGAGUAACGCGUGAGGAACCUGCCUCAAAGAGGGGGACAACAGUUGGAAACGACUGCUAAUACCGCAUAAGCCCACGACCCGGCAUCGGGUAGAGGGAAAAGGAGCAAUCCGCUUUGAGAUGGCCUCGCGUCCGAUUAGCUAGUUGGUGAGGUAACGGCCCACCAAGGCGACGAUCGGUAGCCGGACUGAGAGGUUGAACGGCCACAUUGGGACUGAGACACGGCCCAGACUCCUACGGGAGGCAGCAGUGGGGAAUAUUGCACAAUGGGGGAAACCCUGAUGCAGCGACGCCGCGUGGAGGAAGAAGGUCUUCGGAUUGUAAACUCCUGUUGUUGAGGAAGAUAAUGACGGUACUCAACAAGGAAGUGACGGCUAACUACGUG